CCUACGGGAGGCUGCAGUGAGGAAUAUUGGUCAAUGGGCUGACGCCUGAACCAGCCAAGUCGCGUGAGGGAAGACUGCCCUAUGGGUUGUAAACCUCUUUUGUCAGGGAGCAACGCCGGCUACGUGUAGCCGGACUGAGAGUACCUGAAGAAAAAGCAUCGGCUAACUCCGUGCCAGCAGCCGCGGUAAUACGGAGGAUGCGAGCGUUAUCCGGAUUGAUUGGGUUUAAAGGGUGCGUAGGCGGAAUGCCAAGUCAGCGGUAAAAUCGCGGGGCUCAACCUCGCUCCGCCGUUGAAACUGGCGUUCUUGAGUGGGCGAGAAGUAUGCGGAAUGCGUGGUGUAGCGGUGAAAUGCAUAGAUAUCACGCAGAACUCCGAUUGCGAAGGCAGCAUACCGGCGCCCAACUGACGCUGAAGCAUGAAAGCGUGGGUAUCGAACAGGAUUAGAUACCCCUGUAGUC
This 460-nucleotide ribosomal RNA is filed under the name uncultured bacterium. RNAcentral describes it as "partial 16S ribosomal RNA". It matches the Rfam family "Bacterial small subunit ribosomal RNA", at positions 338 to 795 of the family's 1533-position model. The record is from RNAcentral.